This 917-nucleotide unclassified non-coding RNA is filed under the name Hevea brasiliensis (rubber tree). The record is from RNAcentral. Lineage: Eukaryota; Viridiplantae; Streptophyta; Magnoliopsida; Malpighiales; Euphorbiaceae.
UGGGAAGGUUUAUGAUGCGGUUAACUUGUUUACUGCAAUGGUGGAUGCUCAAAUCGAACCAAAUUUAGCCACAUUUAGCGGACUGUUGACUGCAUAUAACCAUGCUGGUUUGGUUGAAGAGGGCUACCAGUGCUUUAACUCCAUGAUGGAACACCAGCUUGUCCCUUUACUUGAUCAUUAUGCAAUCAUGGUUGAUCUUUUAGGGAGGGCAGGAAGAUUACAAGAGGCAUAUGAGCUUAUAGAGAGUAUGCCAAUGCGGCCUUGUGCUGAGGUUUGGGGAGCUUUACUGCUUGCCUGCGAGGUACAUAGCAAUGUUGACUUUGGAGAGAUUGCAGCUAAGCAUUGCUUUGAGUUGGAGCCUACUACAACUGGUUAUUAUUCUCUUCUUGCAAACAUUUAUGCCUCUGUUGGGAGGUGGGAUGAUGCUAGGAAACUAAGAAAGGUGAUUAAAGACAAGAAAUUGGCCAAGAUACCAGGGUGUAGUUGGACAGAAAUAACUUAAUUCUUUCACAUUAGGACAACCAUAUGCGCUCCAAGAGCUUGAACAUCACGGACUUCAACUUGGUUUUGCUUGUAAAAUCUAUACGAAACUUCGAGUUGGCAUGUCUCUUGGCCAGUCACCAGAAAGGCAUAGUGGGACCAAGACUGAGGAUAAAUAUGUCAAGCAGAAAAUGAAUAUAUUCAUUCCCUCUCUCAUUGUCCGAACUCAAAAUGGUUGCAGUGUUCUUAUCAGCGGAUCAUACUCCAUUUUUGGUGCAAAUUCCAUAGUUUGCAUACUUAGUAUGGUGCAAGCACCUGCCAUCAAUACCAGAAAAAUAUAUACAUGUACUAAAGCACUUUUUCACUGAUUUCUUCUUAUCAGAAGCUUGUAACCUGCAUCCCAUAACUAAUAUUUACAUUCUAUUUAUUUGUGAAGU